This 21-nucleotide microRNA is filed under the name Spodoptera frugiperda (fall armyworm). Its description in RNAcentral is "sfr-miR-10461b-5p". Lineage: Eukaryota; Metazoa; Arthropoda; Insecta; Lepidoptera; Noctuidae. The record is from miRBase by way of RNAcentral.
UGACGAGGAACUCUACUACUU